Long non-coding RNA from Melozone crissalis (California towhee), 846 nucleotides. RefSeq lists it as uncharacterized. NCBI's taxonomy places the organism in Eukaryota, Metazoa, Chordata, Aves, Passeriformes, Passerellidae. The record is from RefSeq and is a predicted model, not a curated record. The transcript is spliced from 6 exons.
UCCUCACACAGGACAGCACCUGUUUACUGUUUCUGCUUUCAGUGGAUGGAUAAAAGGUGUGCCUCAUAGUGGAUUUAAAGUGGAAGUGUCCAAGGAAUAAUUCUUCAUCUGGUGGAUGAGGUUACAAGUUGGUUACUUGGUGACCUGGUAUUGCCACUGCCAGCACAGAUUAUUUUAUGCAUCAGGCUGAAGAGUUUAAUCUCCUUCCUUGCCCAAGGGAAAAAGGUCAAGUAAAAAUUGAUGGCAGCCCACUUUGUCUUCACAUUGGAGAAGUCAUAGAUGAUGUUUAUAUGAGAGCAGAGGUUUUCUGACCAGAAAUAUACUUAUUCAAGAGGAAAUGCAAGAUUCCUGUUAUGGACAAUAUUUACACCAGUUUUUUGAUACACUCGGAGGGCACAUUAAAAUCCUAAGGAAUUUUAGCUCUGUUCGCAUGUCAGGAGUGGAACUGAAAAACAUGGGGCAAAAAGUCCUGGGCAGUUAUCCUGUGCAUUUUCACCUGGCUGAGGAUGUGGAUGAGAGAGGAGGAUAUGAGCAUCCAAUGCACCUCAAUAACCUGGAUGUGGAUGAGAGAGGAGGACACAUUGAUACAUGUGGAUGAGAGAGGAGGGUGUGAGCAUCCAAUGCACCUCAAUAACCUGGCUAUCACCACUGCUUCUCAUGGCCUUCUGGGCUGUCAGCACGUUCUGGAUUGCAAAUCCAAACAACAACUUAAUAGAGAAUGCAGUGGCUGCUGCUCAGGAUGUUGGGAUAUGGUGCCUCUUCCCCUGGGUCCUCACCAGACAAUCUGAUGGAAAAUAUCCAGUGGGACAGGGUGCACACAUCCCCUACAGCAGAGCCCACUCCAGU